AAGCUCGUAGUUGAAUUUCGGGAUUAGUACGUCGGUCGUGCCUUAGGUACGUACUGGUGUUACUGGUUCCUACCUUCUGACGAACCAUCAUGUCAUUAAUUUGGUGUGGUGGGGAAUCAGGACAGUUACUUUGAAAAAAAUUAGAGUGUUUAAAGCAGGCUCGCGCUUGAAUACAUUAGCAUGGAAUAUGAAAUAGGACGUUGAUCCUAUUUUGUUGGUUUUCUAGGAUUGACGUAAUGAUUAAUAGGGAUAGUUGGG
RNAcentral lists this ribosomal RNA (258 nucleotides) under uncultured Glomus. RNAcentral describes it as "partial 18S ribosomal RNA". It matches the Rfam family "Eukaryotic small subunit ribosomal RNA", at positions 624 to 886 of the family's 1831-position model. The record is from RNAcentral. Lineage: Eukaryota; Fungi; Glomeromycota; Glomeromycetes; Glomerales; Glomeraceae.